CUUCCCGGUGCUGCAGCUGGGAAGGGUAUAGUGAGGUGCUAAGAAAUUAAUAAUCCAUAAAGUUUCCAAAUAGCAAAGAAACAGAAUACUAAUUUGAGAAACCAUCUAACGUUUAUAUUUUUAUAAAUAUUCAAAAAAAGUACAUCUCAAGAAAACUAAUGUUUUCUUAGCACAACUGUGUUUGACAAAGGCUUUGCACUUAU
This 203-nucleotide unclassified non-coding RNA is filed under the name Hevea brasiliensis (rubber tree). The record is from RNAcentral. Lineage: Eukaryota; Viridiplantae; Streptophyta; Magnoliopsida; Malpighiales; Euphorbiaceae.